GAUAAACGCUGGCGGUGUACAUAAGACAUGCAAGUCGAACGGGAGAAGACAGGAAGAUUUAUCUACUUGUUGGACACCGUGGCGGACGGGUGAGUAACACGUAAGCAACCUGCCUAUAAGAGGGGAAUAACAGUGAGAAAUUACUGAUAAUACCGCAUAAGCUGGAGGUAUCGCAUGAUACAUUCAGAAAAGAUUUAUCGCUUAUAGAUGGGCUUGCGUCUGAUUAGCUAGUUGGUGAGAUAACAGCUCACCAAGGCGACGAUCAGUAGCCGGAUUGAGAGGUUGAACGGCCACAUUGGGACUGAGACACGGCCCAGACUCCUACGGGAGGCAGCAGUCGGGAAUAUUGCACAAUGGAGGAAACUCUGAUGCAGUGACACCGCGUAUAGGAAGAAGGUCUUAGGAUUGUAAGCUAUUGUCGUGUAAAAAGA
Molecule: ribosomal RNA, 431 nt
Filed under: Clostridiales bacterium oral taxon 075
Lineage: Bacteria; Bacillati; Bacillota; Clostridia; Eubacteriales
Description: bacterial SSU rRNA
Rfam family: Bacterial small subunit ribosomal RNA
Source: RNAcentral